This is a long non-coding RNA of Rhipicephalus sanguineus (brown dog tick), 1639 nucleotides long. RefSeq lists it as uncharacterized. NCBI's taxonomy places the organism in Eukaryota, Metazoa, Arthropoda, Arachnida, Ixodida, Ixodidae. The record is from RefSeq and is a predicted model, not a curated record. The transcript has 5 exons.
AACAAGUCGGCUUGUGAGACAACUGCAACGAAGCCAACGCGGGUCAAUUAAGUUUUGUGCAGAGCAGAGCAUUUGAGCUACGCGAGGAUCCUUUGUGCACAUUGGCAGGACAUCGAGAAGAAAUUAUGACGUCAUCGAAUUUUUCAAAAGAACAGCUCUUAUGUUCAGGGCACGCCUGCCAGAACUGCAAGCUGAAAGUGGACUAUCGCAUGGAGGAACUUAGGAGUUGAAGAAGACGAGGAAGGAUAACAGCUAGCUCUUGCUUGAGCAAAGAUGGGUUCUUGUAGCUUAAGGCACUGUAGCAGCGCGACAAUCGCGUACAGCCAGCCUCGGCUAAAGAAGAUUAUCAUGUGGACCUAGCUGGAGUACAGAACACUCACAGUCUCGGCUGGGUGAAAGCCGCCUGGCCGAGAUUGAGAGGUGGAAGCCACGGCUCCUCUUCGGUUUCUGCGUCUCAGUAGAGUGGAGACAAUGGCACAGCCGCGUCGACUGCCAUCAUGUCUCUGUCACUGCAGGCACAGUUCCUUGUUUCAUGUCUGAAACUUCGAAAUCGCCCUUAAGCAAGCACCAUUAAUUGAUGGAGCAUUCUCAAAAGGUUCAUGAAAGUUUCAGAGCCAACAUCUCUUGAAAUACUAUGCUCCCCGCCAAACUGCCCCAGAAACCCGAUUUCAGCGCACAUGAAGUCACCUGAUAUGUCUUCUUUUCGACAUGCAAGGAAACUAGGCUGUGCCAGCCAGAUGGAGAUCCUCGCUGCUACCAGACAGCCAACUCAACGACACUGUGGUCUACAGGGAGGAGAUCGUGAAUGUUGUCUCACAUGCCCUAUUUUUCCUGAAGCAAGAUCAACGGCCUUACAAUGGAUAGGCCAACAACUAUGCAAAGUAGCAGCAGGCAGGCUUCUACAUCACAAGGCCAGCUGCAGGAAGAAGAUUUUGUCUUGGUUUCACUACUCAGGAAUUGAACAUUUGAGAAUGCCAGAAAUUACGCAGUGAAAACUCUGGGUCCACCUUUCCUUACAUGCUGGUAACAUGGUGCAUCUGAUGAGAACCUUUCCAACUUGCCAUCAAAAGAGACACUGCAUGAUGCAUUCUAAAGGAUGAACAUGACUGUGCUGAUGCUGAUGUCACAUGGCCACAUUAGAUAGUGAUCGGACCUGACAUGGAUCGAAUUUCUUGAUUGGCUCCUUUAUGCAAGCUGCAGAAGGGAGCCAAUCACUGUAGAGAAAUUUGAUCUUGAUUGGGCUUCAUCGUGAUCAGCAGCGUACCGUGUGACACUGGUAUUAGACACUGAAAGAGAAGACCUUUGGAGCUUGUAUUGGACCUGCUGGGAGGUGUCUUCAGUGACAAGGCUCUGCAAUGACCUCGACAGAAAGACUUGUAAUAACAUGGUAAUUAUGCCAUAUGAUGCAUGUUAUGCGUUCUAUUAGUGUAACACACAGGUUUGUGUGCAAGGGGAUCAAUAAUGUUAUUUUUUUUUGUUUGAUUGGGCAUCAUACCAAGCACUUGUUUAAUUCUAGACCCCCUAAUUUGUGCAUUUGCCACACAAAAUGAUACUUGUGUAUAUAGUGACUGUGAUAAAUAUACACAUAUGCAUACUUACAUAGUAUACGGUAAAACCUGUUUAAUUCGGCCCUCAGUUA